GGCAGUUGGUAUUUAGCAGUAGGGAGACAUAACUUCAAGGUUUUUGUGUGUGAACUCAACUUAGUGAGUGUACGUUAAAUGUUGAAAUGAAACUAAUAUUAGAAUGCUGAUAAAUAUGGCGCUUUUCUCCUAGUGCCUUAUUUACACGAUUGCAUGUUGAUAGGGACCAAUCAUCUAAAGACCAAAGAGUUGUUUUCUUCUUUGGAAGAGCUGUCAUGAUGAUGGGGAAGUUGGGUGAUGGGAGUUGGCACUUUUGAAUGUGUGUGCGGGUGAUUAAUAUCACAAGAAGAAAUAUCGCUGUUGUUCGGUCUUGUGGUUGUGGUGUGUUACCGUGCCUUGUGCGAGUAGGGGUAAACUAUAGGCUCGGUCGUCACCGAGUGUUUAAAUAUUCCUAUUUCGCCAUUUUUUAUUCCAUAAUAGACGAAAGAAAAAACCAUUUUCGUUUGAUUUUUUGACUAUCGCGUUUGUUUACAUUCUUCUUUGAAAAAUCAAUCGGGAAAAACAAAAAAAAUCAUGUUUAGCUAACAAAUAGGCCUUUUGAUGGAACUGACUAAGAAACAGAAAAUACCAAUAAAAAACAGUGAAACCAUGGAAGCUGUUACAGAUCCAGAUAGGAGGGCUCGUCUCCUCAAACUGGAAGAACGAGUUUUCAAUCCUAGGGAUAUUCUUAAUGCUGAUUGCCUUCUUGAUGCUGUGCAAUCGAUGGUGUAUGACAGUGAUCAUCCAACCAUAAAGCGCAUGAAAAACGUUGAAGCCUUUAUCAACCGCUAUGCUAAAGUUGCUGAUGAGAUUAGCAGGUUGAGAGUAAAAGUGGAUGAUUUUUUGGUCAUCAAAGUCAUAGGAAGGGGAGCUUUUGGUCAAGUCCAAUUAGUAAGACAUAAAUCAACCAAGAAAGUUUAUGCUAUGAAGCUUCUUAGCAAAUUUGAAAUGAUAAAAAGAUCAGAUUCAGCAUUCUUCUGGGAAGAACGGGACAUUAUGGCGCACGCCAAUUCUGAGUGGAUUGUAAGACUUCACUUUGCCUUCCAAGAUACAAAGUAUCUUUAUAUGGUUAUGGACUACAUGCCAGGCGGUGAUUUGGUCAAUCUCAUGUCGAAUUACGAUGUUCCCGAGAAGUGGGCAAAAUUUUAUUGCGCUGAAGUGGUUCUAGCCUUGGAGGCUAUUCAUAACAUGGGAUUUGUUCAUCGAGACGUUAAGCCAGACAACAUGUUAUUAGAUGCUCUUGGCCACUUGAAGUUAGCCGAUUUUGGCACUUGCAUGAAAAUGGACGAGGAUGGACUCGUUCGAUCAGACACCGCCGUCGGUACACCGGAUUACAUUUCACCCGAAGUUCUUAAGUCACAAGGAGGAGAAGGAUUAUACGGGCGAGAGUGUGAUUGGUGGUCCGUUGGAGUUUUCCUAUAUGAAAUGUUGGUGGGAGAUACACCGUUCUACGCCGAGAGCUUAGUGGGAACCUACGGGAAGAUCAUGGAUCACAAGAAUUCUCUUUCGUUCCCUGAUGAUGUUGAAAUUAGCCCUGCUGCCAAAAGCUUAAUCUGCUCUUUCCUGACUGACAGGACGCAGCGUCUAGGGCGUAGUGGUGUUGAAGAGAUUCGAAAUCAUAAAUUCUUCGUCAAUGAUCAGUGGACUUUCGACACUAUUCGAGACUGUGUCCCACCGGUAGUACCGGAUUUGACUGGUGAUGACGAUACAAGCAAUUUUGACGACGUUGAGAACGACGACGUACCAGAAGAAAAUUUUCCUGUUCCUAAAGCCUUCGCCGGAAAUCAUUUACCCUUUGUUGGGUUCACGUAUUCGAAAGAUUAUCAAUUACUGACUGGAGGUCUAAGACGAGCAAGCACCAACGGUGGAAUAGAUAGAGUAGACGGGGAAGCAGUAGGGAAUGAAACUGGCGCUCAGCGCAAAGUACCUGACUUGGAAGAGAUCGUGAACAAGGAAAAGCGCCACAUAGCUGAGCUAGAGCACAAAUAUACGUUGACGCUACAUCAAUUAGAUUUAGCUACAACCCGUGAGGAGCAAUUGCGAAACGAGGGCUGCGAGUUGGAACGAAAUCUUGCCCUAAUCAAGCACGAACUUAAAGAAGCACAGCGACGGUCGGAAAAUGAUGCGGAAAAUAGAAAAAAGUUGGAGCAGAAUAUCGCUGAGCUCAAGCGUAAAUUGGAUGAAGAACAGAAUCGCCGAACACGUGAUAAUAGCAAUUCACAAGCGGUUGCCGAACGUAUAAGCUCACUCGAAAAACAGUUGAUGGAGGCCAAUGAAAAGUUGAAGCAAGAAGUUGACAGCCACAACAAAACGAAAAAGCAAAAUGCUGAAUUCACUGUACUAGCUUCUGGUCGAGAGCAUACCUUACUAGAAAUGCAGGAUAAAGUGGCUGCAUUACAACGAGCCCGAGAUGCACUAGAAGCUGAGGCAGCCGCCCUUCAGGCUCAAUUAGAUCAGGAGAGAGCGACGAGAGAGCAAGAGGCUGACCGCCAACAAGAAAUGGAAACCAGACGUCAGGCACUGAUAAGCGAGCUGGAGCGAACCAAAGAACGCCAGGCUUGUAACCUUGCCGAGAACAACCGGCUGUCGGAAAGGAUCGUCGAAAUGGAGAAACGUUCUGCAUCUCUCGAACUGGAACUGAAUGCUAUGACGUCCAAAUAUGAGCGAGAAAAACGUGCUCAUCAGGAAACAGAACAGAGUCGUUCCGGCAAUCAAGAAGAGGCUAGUGCGGAAGUGGUCAAAGCGUUGCAGUUGAAAUUGCAAGAGGAAAAAGCAUCCCGGCAAAAGGCGGAGAAUCAAUGGCAAGAACGCGAACGUCAGAUUUCGAUGCUUUCGGUCGACUAUCGGCAAAUUCAGCAGCAGCUCAAUAAACUGGAAGGCGAUCAUCGGCAGGAAGUUGACAAAACCAAAGGACUGAUUCUUCAACUUGAGCGAGAGUCUCAAAAGCGGUCACUUCUACAGAAUGAUCAAAGCGUUCUGUCUGCCGAAAUGGCUGUCCUUCGUAGUCGUGAGCGGCAACUUCAACGCGAGCUGGAAGCAGCUCGUGACGUGGCUCGUAGUCUGGAAGAAGAACUACACAAAUUGCGAACCAUCAAGUCGGUUGACGAUUUACAAAUGCGUGAACUCCAAGAUCAGUUGGAAGCUGAGCAAUACUUUUCUACUUUGUACAAGACGCAAGUAACUGAGUUGCGCGAAGAGGUGGAUGAGAAGACCAAGCAGGUUAGUGAACUAGAGGACGAGCGAGCAAGCAUCACCCACCAGCUCCAGUUAUCUCUUGCCCGGGCGGAUUCCGAAGCUUUAGCAAGAGCUAUCGCAGAAGAGACUGUAGCCGAAAUGGAGAAGGAAAAGACGAUGAAAGAUUUGGAAAUUAAAGAUUUGGUGGCUAGACAUCGAGCAGAGAUCAUCAACAAGGAGGUAGCGCUCAACAGUCUGCGCGAUCGAGAGAAUGAAUUGAAGAAGACUUUCGACUUAGUUACCCAGGAGAACCAAGAGCUGGGCAAUAAAUUGAAAAGUGCCCAGGAAGACUUAGCACAGGCAUCCACGGCUUCCGUGGACGAGGUGGAGCGGUUACGGAAACAGCUCAAGCAGGAACAACUGCUCAAGAUGCAAGCGGUCAACAAACUUGCCGAAAUUAUGAAUCGUAAAAUUCCUGACGGCCGUAAUCCUAAGAAAAAUGCAGGUGGUGGAGCUGAUCUGCGACGCAAAGAGAAGGAAUGUCGUAAACUACAACAGGAGCUCACUCAGGAACGUGAAAAAUAUAAUCAAGUGGUGGCCAAAUCGCAAAAAGAAACGCAGGACUUACAAUCGUCACUUUAUGAAGAGAAUCAACUCCGAAUCAAACUGCAAAUGGAGGUCGACAGCAAGGAUUCCGAAAUUGAACAACUAUCUCAAAAGUUGGCUUCGGCAUCAGCUGAUACCGUAUCAAAUAUUAGUAGCGGAGCAGAGAACGAAUCAGAAGAGGGAGUUCAAGAUUCUUGGUUAGAAGGCUGGCUUUUUAUUCCUUCAAAACAAAAUAUUCGGCGCCAUGGUUGGCGAAAACAAUACGUGGUCGUGUCGUCCAAGAAGAUCUUCUUUUAUAAUUCAGAGAGUGACAAGCAGAACGCCGAUCCCGUUCUCAUCCUAGACUUGAACAAAGUCUUCCACGUCCGUUCUGUUACACAGGGCGAUGUCAUACGCGCUGAUGCCAAAGAGAUUCCCCGUAUUUUGCAGAUUCUCUACGCCGGCGAAGGCGAAUCUCGUAAACCAGACGAGAGCACCCCACCGCCGGAUUUAGUCGGUCGUGAGGAAAAACCUGGAACUGUUAACCACAAAGGCCACGAACUUGUGGCUAUUAGUUUCCACAUGCCAACCACUUGUGAAGUGUGCUCAAAACCUUUGUGGCAUAUGUUCCGACCCCCACCUGCCCUUGAGUGCCGCCGGUGUCGCAUCAAAGUUCACAAAGAACAUUUGGAUAAGCGUGAGGAAAUCAUCGCUCCCUGCAAAGUCCACUACGAUCCUAAUACAGCCAAAGAGAUGCUCUUAUUAGCAGGGACGUUGGAGGAACAACAGCAGUGGAUAUCGCGGCUGUCGAAAAAGAUCCAGAAAUUUGGCUAUAAAGCCAAUUCAGCCGCAAUGGGCGGUGCUGAAGGAGCACGCGUCUCGCCAAGGGAGUCGACGCGAUCAGCUUACCGUCCUUACGUACAGCAAAGGUCGGCUACUUUGCCACCAAACAGCGUUCAAUCAGGAGUGCGCAACAGCAAGUGAAAGCCUUCAAAGGUUGCCAAUAUUUUUUCAUACAUGGUACACCUUUCUACUACAGCAGGUGUUGAAGAAUGAUGUUCAUUAUUGUUCUUUUUUGCGUAAUAACAAGUUGUACCGUCAGUAUCCCUGUGGCGGCAUCUUUACUAUAUAGCAAAACCUUUCUCGAUCCUCUUUAUUUUUUUUUUCCUUGUUGUCCUUUUUUCUGUCUUCGAAUUGUGCCAACUUGCAUCCUCUCCUCUACACUGCCUUACCCUCCUUCAUAUUUUCCCACUUCCCGUUGUAGUGUUUUACAAAAUUCCCAACUCCCAUUUCCUGUUGAAUGAUUAUUUAUUCUAUAUUUCUUUUGUUUCCUUUUUUGGGAGGUUCUUUUUUUUUUCUUGUUCCGCCAAAGGCCCGACACAAGACACAAGUGACCUUCAAUGUUGCUGUCUACCCACCCACCUCUUCACACUAUUUUUGAACCUUGGAACAGUUUUAUGUCUUGGGCAUCCCCAUCUCAACCUAUGGAAAUGCAUGGUGCAUAUGUAAUUACGCAGGAAAAAGGACGUAGAAGAAGAGACAUUUGAAAGAUAGACAGAGAGAGAACGUGACGUAUACACCGGGAACGUUUGCUUCAAAUGGGUUGUUGAACCUCCCUUUGAUACGACAGUUGCGUCAUUUACAUUCCUGAUUUGCCUACGCAUGUAUGUGUAUCUGUGAGGAGCUGGCAUUUUUUUUUUUUUCUUGGUGGGGUCUUUCUGAAAAAAGGAAGGAAAAAAGCACCGAUUUAAAUAAUAUAGUCAUUGGGAUGGAUAACGAAUAACAGAUGAGGGAUCGGCAGUAAGACAAAAUAGAUGCUAACUGUUACAACGACAAGACGAGAAAAUUGCCGAUUUAUAUUGUGCCUUGUAAUUGCGUUUUGAAAUUGUUUUCAACUUUAACUUUUCGUGUUUCUUCCUCCCAAUUAUAGAUUUUUUUUUUGUCCGUGCGUUUGAGGAAAAUCGAGCUUUUGUUUCCAUGCUUAUAAUAAUUGGGCAAUUCAAUCACGUUUAAACCUAGCCGACUGCUGUUGCAUUCGGUUCGGUAUUCCUUGGAGAAAUCAACUAAAAUAUCUGACAGGACAGCCCUCAUUGCCUUUAUUAAGACGCUGGUCGCGCUUUUUUUUAACUAACAUUUUAAAAUCAUUCUACUUGAAUUGGUGGCAAAAAAGAGACUAGAACGGAAACAUGCUUUUUCCUCAAUCCCAAACUUUAAACACUUCUCGAUUCUCUCCCCCAAAGCCAUGAAUUUGUAUCCUCAUCUUCUAUAGGUAUAAAUCUUGAAAACCACCAUUUUCACGUGCAACACUCUUGAAGAUGUGAGUGUACAGGAUGAAUUGCGUAUGCUCUCGUGUGUUUGUGUAAUAUAACUUUUGAUUUCUAAAUUUCGAA
RNAcentral lists this unclassified non-coding RNA (6128 nucleotides) under Daphnia magna. Its description in RNAcentral is "rho-associated protein kinase 2, transcript variant X1". Lineage: Eukaryota; Metazoa; Arthropoda; Branchiopoda; Diplostraca; Daphniidae. The record is from RNAcentral.